Molecule: ribosomal RNA, 367 nt
Filed under: uncultured organism
Description: bacterial SSU rRNA
Rfam family: Bacterial small subunit ribosomal RNA
Source: RNAcentral
CGGAGGGUGCAAGCGUUAUCCGGAUUCACUGGGUUUAAAGGGUGCGUAGGUGGGUCUGUAAGUCCGUGGUGAAAUCUCCGAGCUUAACUUGGAAACUGCCAUGGAUACUAUAGAUCUUGAAUACUGUGGAGGUCAGCGGAAUAUGUCAUGUAGCGGUGAAAUGCUUAGAUAUGACAUAGAACACCAAUUGCGAAGGCAGCUGGCUACACAAAUAUUGACACUGAUGCACGAAAGCGUGGGGAUCAAACAGGAUUAGAUACCCUGGUAGUCCACGCCCUAAACGAUGGAUACUCGACAUUUGCGAUAAACUGCAAGUGUCUGAGCGAAGCAUUAAGUAUCCCACCCGGGAAGUACGAUCGCAAGAUUG